GAUGAACGCUAGCGAGACGCUUAACACAUGCAAGUCGAAUGUUGCAGUAAUGCGACAUGGCAGACGGGUGAGUAACACGUGCUUAAUUUACCCCGGAGUGGGGGACAACAUCGGAAACGGUGAUAAUCCCGCAUACGUUCCAUAAAAUGAAAAUAUAUGGAAGAAAGAUUUAUCGCUCUGGGAGAAGGGCGCGGCUGACUAGUUAGUUGGUGAGGUAAUGGCUCACCAAGACGAUGAUCAGUAGCUGGUCUGAGAGGACGAACAGCCACAAUGGGACUGAGACAAGGCCCAUACCCCUACGGGGGGCAGCAGUGGGGAAUCUUGCGCAAUGGACGAAAGUCUGACGCAGCGAUCUCGCGUGAAGGAUGAAGCUUUGCGGAGUGUAAACUUCUUUUCUGGGAGAAAACAACUGAUGGUAUCUCAGGAAUAAGGGACGGCUAACUACGUG
This 448-nucleotide ribosomal RNA is filed under the name uncultured bacterium. Its description in RNAcentral is "bacterial SSU rRNA". It matches the Rfam family "Bacterial small subunit ribosomal RNA", at positions 28 to 507 of the family's 1533-position model. RNAcentral also lists the same sequence under 1 other name. The record is from RNAcentral.